RNAcentral lists this ribosomal RNA (97 nucleotides) under Clostridia bacterium. Lineage: Bacteria; Bacillati; Bacillota; Clostridia. The record is from RNAcentral.
GCGUAGAUAGCGGCGGGGGUACACCCGUUCCCAUUCCGAACACGGAAGUUAAGCCCGCUUGCGUCGACAAUACUCGGAUGGUGACGUCCCGGGAAGA